RNAcentral lists this ribosomal RNA (1039 nucleotides) under Colletotrichum gloeosporioides. RNAcentral's name for it is "SSU rRNA". It matches the Rfam family "Eukaryotic small subunit ribosomal RNA", at positions 72 to 1122 of the family's 1831-position model. Lineage: Eukaryota; Fungi; Ascomycota; Sordariomycetes; Glomerellales; Glomerellaceae. The record is from RNAcentral.
AAUUAUACAGCGAAACUGCGAAUGGCUCAUUAUAUAAGUUAUCGUUUAUUUGAUAGUACCUUACUACUUGGAUAACCGUGGUAAUUCUAGAGCUAAUACAUGCUAAAAAUCCCGACUUACGAAGGGAUGUAUUUAUUAGAUUAAAAACCAAUGCCCUUCGGGGCUCACUGGUGAUUCAUAAUAACUUCUCGAAUCGCAUGGCCUUGCGCCGGCGAUGGUUCAUUCAAAUUUCUUCCCUAUCAACUUUCGAUGCUAGAGUAGUGUUCUAGCAUGGUUACAACGGGUAACGGAGGGUUAGGGCUCGACCCCGGAGAAGGAGCCUGAGAAACGGCUACUACAUCCAAGGAAGGCAGCAGGCGCGCAAAUUACCCAAUCCCGACACGGGGAGGUAGUGACGAUAAAUACUGAUACAGGGCUCUUUUGGGUCUUGUAAUUGGAAUGAGUACAAUUUAAAUCCCUUAACGAGGAACAAUUGGAGGGCAAGUCUGGUGCCAGCAGCCGCGGUAAUUCCAGCUCCAAUAGCGUAUAUUAAAGUUGUUGUGGUUAAAAAGCUCGUAGUAGAACCUUGGGCCUGGCUGGCCGGUCCGCCUCACCGCGUGCACUGGUCCGGCCGGGCCUUUCCCCCUGUGGAACCUCAUGCCCUUCACUGGGUGUGUGGGAAAACAGGACUUUUACUUUGAAAAAAUUAGAGUGCUCCAGGCAGGCCUAUGCUCGAAUACAUUAGCAUGGAAUAAUAGAAUAGGACGUGUGGUUCUAUUUUGUUGGUUUCUAGGACCGCCGUAAUGAUUAAUAGGGACAGUCGGGGGCAUCAGUAUUCAAUUGUCAGAGGUGAAAUUCUUGGAUUUAUUGAAGACUAACUACUGCGAAAGCAUUUGCCAAGGAUGUUUUCAUUUAUCAGGAACGAAAGUUAGGGGAUCGAAAACAAUCAGAUACCGUCGUAAUCUUAACCAUAAACUAUGCCGACUAGGGAUCGGACGAAGUUAUUUUUUGACUCGUUCGGCACCUUACAAGAAAUCAAAGGGCUUGGGCUCCAGGGGGA